AACAGAAAGAAUGACUUACUGGGGAACUAAGUUAGAAGAGGAAAGAAGUGAAGAUUGGUCUUCUAUGCAGAGGAAAUGACAAGGUUUCAUCUCGCCUGGAUGCCGACCUCACCCUGAUUUCUGGGCAUUAGGAUCUGGUAAUCGUCAUUUCUGCCAUGGAGAGCUCAGAAAUGCAGCCCAGCGUGAGUUCCUGCUGCUGCUGCUGCUGCUCUCGCAGCCGUCCGUGUCACGCCUGGCAGCCAUCUUAGACCUGGGCAGAAAGCCCAGCGGGGCAAACACAACAACUUGGCUGGGAAGUCCCCAUAUCAAUUAUGCUGAAAGCAGUGGCGGAACACGUCACUUACCCUGAGAAGUGGCUUACCGCCUUUGGGGUGAGAUCUGCUUUAUAGCGAAACAUCGCUUUAGUUUGUCUGUGUGUGGCUGAUGUAUGUAUCAUUUAUUGUUUUCUUUAGUUAACGGUUAACAAAAAGUAAGUUAGCUGAUCAAGUUAGGGUAUUUGCUUUAAAAGUUUGCUUAUUAAAGCAGUAUUUAUAUUAUUCUAUGAACUGGUAUCUCAGUUAUUUCCACUUCCUUAGAUCUGCCCUGAAUGGGGAGUGUUGUGAUCCAUCAAACCAGGUGGUGGGGAAUAACAACCCCCUCAAACUCUACCAUAAGCGUGAGGUUAGAGUGGAUUGUACUAUAGUGGCAAUUUUGUUAGUCAUGUGAACCAAAGCCUGUGUAGUACGGUAGGGCGUGUUUAGUUUAGCCAUUGAUUCAGAGUUUAGCCAUUGAUUCAGGAUAUGUUCAAGGAGUAGCAGCGUAUUGUUUAAGUAGGCCAUAACAUUUCCUCACAGUCUGGACAAAUUCUUUUUUCAGUCUUACAGAUUUACCCGUGCAGAACUUGGGAAGUUCAGUUAGAGAAACUCAGCUCUUCCCCAUUAGGAUAACAGGAAUAUCUAGAAGCAUGUUAAACAAUCCCUCUAAGUCAGCAUCCACUCUCUAAGUCGUAGCGAUGACUUUCUUGAAGUGACAAAACUGGUUUGAUAAGGUGCAGUCAUGUCAGAGCUGGAAGUACAAAAGUGCAUUUAUUAAAAAUUCAUGCUGUAUCCUCUUUCCCCUUGUGUAUCUUGUCACUGACAUGACUUCACAAGUUGCAAAUCUA
Molecule: non-coding RNA, 1141 nt
Organism: Phalacrocorax carbo (great cormorant)
Lineage: Eukaryota; Metazoa; Chordata; Aves; Suliformes; Phalacrocoracidae
Source: RefSeq, a predicted model, not a curated record